RNAcentral lists this ribosomal RNA (420 nucleotides) under Fusobacteriota bacterium. Its description in RNAcentral is "Fusobacteria bacterium partial 16S ribosomal RNA". It matches the Rfam family "Bacterial small subunit ribosomal RNA", at positions 355 to 776 of the family's 1533-position model. Lineage: Bacteria; Fusobacteriati; Fusobacteriota. The record is from RNAcentral.
UGGGGGAUAUUGCACAAUGGGCGAAAGCCUGAUGCAGCGACGCCGCGUGGGGGAUGAAGGCCUUCGGGUUGUAAACUUCUUUUGCUCUGAACAAGGCAUGCUUUUGGGGUGUGUUGAGUGUAGGGGUUGAUUAGCGUCGGCUAACUACGUGCCAGCAGCCGCGGUAAUACGUAGGGCGCGAGCGUUGUCCGGAAUUAUUGGGCGUAAAGGGCUUGUAGGUGGCUUGUUGCGUCUGUCGUGAAAGCUCAUGGCUUAACUGUGGGUUUGCGGUGCGUACGCGCUGGCUUGAGUGCAGUAGGGGAGGCUGGAAUUCCUGGUGUAGCGGUGGAAUGCGCAGAUAUCAGGAGUAAUACCGGUGGCGAAGGCUGGUCUCUAGGCUGUUACUGACGCUGAGGAGCGAAAGCGUGGGGAGCGAACAGG